RNAcentral lists this ribosomal RNA (720 nucleotides) under Fenestrulina malusii. RNAcentral describes it as "partial 16S ribosomal RNA". The stretch from base 406 to 645 matches the Rfam family "Archaeal large subunit ribosomal RNA", at positions 1786 to 2143 of the family's 2987-position model. Lineage: Eukaryota; Metazoa; Bryozoa; Gymnolaemata; Cheilostomatida; Microporellidae. The record is from RNAcentral.
CCGAAAGUAAUGAGCUACUUUUAGUUCAAUGAAGAAUUAAAAAAAGAAAUGUUGCAAAAUUUCUCAAUAGAAACAAAAGUAGAGAUUAAAUGUCUACGCAUUUACAGAUACCUGGUUAUCUUUUAAGGUAAUAUUACCAAUUUUAUUUAAAUUAAUUAAUUUUGGGAUAAGCUAAAAUUAAAACAAGAUUUAUUAUUUUUCUAAAUCCAUUUAAAAAUUAUUUUUAUUAUUUUAGGCCUAGUAAUAGCUUCAAAAAAGAUUGUAAUAAGAAAAAAUUCUAAAAUAAAAAAAUUUUAAAAAAAUAUUAAUCUUACAUAAAAGAUAAUAGUAAUUAACAUUAUAACAACUUGUUUACUAAUUAAAAUGGUUACAUUAGUAUGAAAAUUUAUAUUUCAAAAUAUAAAUUUUAAAUUAAAAAUUAGAAAGGAACUCGGCAAAAAUUAAGGCAACGACUGUUUAACAAAGACAUAGCUUCUAGAAAUUAUUAGAAGUCACUCCUGCCCAGUGUGAAUAAUCAACGGCCGCGAAAGUGCUAAGGUAGCAAAAUAAUUUGUCUUUUUAUUGAAGACCAGUAUGAAGGGAGCAACGAAGCCUAACUGUCUCCUUAAUUUAAUCAAAAAUUAAUUAAAGAGUGAAAAAUCUCUUUAUAUUAUGAGGGACGAGAAGACCCUACAGAGUUUUAGUAAAAUCUAAUUACUAUAUUAUAGAUAAUACUUUUAU